GGAAAAUUUCUCGCAGUUCAGCCAACUGCUCAUCAUCUAACUUAACAGGUGCUUUAUUGCUCAUAUUUCUCUGUGAAGCAAUAAAUCAAACACUUGAUCUGCAGAUUAAAAUUGUCCUUCAAAGAAAGAAUAUCAAUGGAUACCCUUUUCCAACCAACUGGGUACUCUGUUUUCCUGCUAUUCGUGCCGUCCUCUUUCUCUUGCUGUUCUACUGACCUUUUGACUACUCUUUGCUCAAUUUUGUGUCACUUUCGAAUAGCUAUUUUUCUUGGACUUGGUAAUGGAUCCACCAAAUUCUAUGAAUUUGUUGAAUUACAAGGAAAAGUUAUACAGAUUUGUAGAAUUGAUAUUGAAAGAAAAUAUUGACAA
This 369-nucleotide unclassified non-coding RNA is filed under the name Hevea brasiliensis (rubber tree). Lineage: Eukaryota; Viridiplantae; Streptophyta; Magnoliopsida; Malpighiales; Euphorbiaceae. The record is from RNAcentral.